Molecule: ribosomal RNA, 1633 nt
Filed under: Meloidogyne arabicida
Lineage: Eukaryota; Metazoa; Nematoda; Chromadorea; Rhabditida; Meloidogynidae
Description: SSU rRNA
Rfam family: Eukaryotic small subunit ribosomal RNA
Source: RNAcentral
CGUUUAUCGAGAAACCGCGAACGGCUCAUUACAAUGGCCAUGAUUUACUUGAUCUUGAUUAUCUAAAUGGAUAACUGUGGAAAAGCUAGAGCUAAUACAUGCACUAAAGCUUUGUCCUUACGGAAAAGCGCAUUUAUUAGAACAAAACCACGCGGCUUCGGCUGCUUCUUGUUGACUCAGAAUAACUAAGCUGACCGCAUGGCCUUGUGCCGGCGGCGUGUCUUUCAAGCGUCCACUUUAUCAACUUGACGGGAGCAUAAUCGACUCCCGUGGUGGUGACGGAUAACGGAGGAUCAGGGUUCGACUCCGGAGAAGGGGCCUGAGAAAUGGCCACUACGUCUAAGGAUGGCAGCAGGCGCGCAAAUUACCCACUCUCGGCUCGAGGAGGUAGUGACGAGAAAUAACGAGACUGUUCUCUUUGAGGCCGGUCAUCGGAAUGGGUACAAUUUAAACCCUUUAACGAGUAUCAAGCAGAGGGCAAGUCUGGUGCCAGCAGCCGCGGUAAUUCCAGCUCUGCUAAUACAUAGAAUUAUUGCUGCGGUUAAAAAGCUCRUAGUUGGAUUCGUAUCGRUACCUUGGAACCCUUCGGGUGUCUCUAGGUGUUAUCGAUUUAUCGUAAUGUUCGGUUUUGAGUCCUUAACAGGAUUCUUAACAGGCAUUGCAAGUUUACUUUGAACAAAUCAGAGUGCUUCAAACAGGCGUUUUCGCUUGAAUGAUCGUGCAUGGAAUAAUAGAAAAUGAUUUCGGUUCAGUUUUAUUGGUUUUACGGACUGAGAUAAUGGUUAACAGAGACAAACGGGGGCAUUUGUAUGGUCCCGUGAGAGGUGAAAUUCUUGGACCGUGGCCAGACAAACUACAGCGAAAGCAUUUGCCAAGAAUGUUUUUAUUAAUCAAGAACGAAAGUCAGAGGUUCGAAGGCGAUCAGAUACCGCCCUAGUUCUGACCGUAAACGAUGCCAACUAGCGAUCCGCYGAUGGAAAUUAUAUUGCCUUGGUGGGGAGCUUCCCGGAAACGAAAGUCUUCCGGUUCCGGGGGAAGUAUGGUUGCAAAGCUGAAACUUAAAGGAAUUGACGGAAGGGCACCACCAGGAGUGGAGCCUGCGGCUUAAUUUGACUCAACACGGGGAAACUCACCCGGCCCGGACACUGUGAGGAUUGACAGAUUGAUAGCUUUUUCAUGAUUCAGUGGAUGGUGGUGCAUGGCCGUUCUUAGUUCGUGGAGUGAUUUGUCUGGUUUAUUCCGAUAACGAGCGAGACUCUAACCUACUAAAUAGUUGGUACAUACUCUUWGUGUAUACAGCUUCUUAGAGGGAUUUGCGGCGUUCAGCCGAAAGAAAUUGAGCAAUAACAGGUCUGUGAUGCCCUUAGAUGUCCGGGGCUGCACGCGCGCUACACUGGCAAAAUCAACGUGCUUGUCCUACCCCGAAAGGGGCGGGUAAACCAUUGAAAAUUUGCCGUGAUUGGGAUCGGAAAUUGCAAUUAUUUUCCGUGAACGAGGAAUUCCAAGUAAGUGCGAGUCAUCAGCUCGCGUUGAUUACGUCCCUGCCCUUUGUACACACCGCCCGUCGCUGCCCGGGACUGAGCCAUUUCGAGAAAUUUGGGGACCGUUGAUUUAAUUUUUCUAAAUUACUUUG